Molecule: ribosomal RNA, 772 nt
Filed under: uncultured bacterium
Lineage: Bacteria
Description: bacterial SSU rRNA
Rfam family: Bacterial small subunit ribosomal RNA
Source: RNAcentral
UCAGAGGGAGGUAGAAUNCCACGUGUAGCAGUGAAAUGCGUAGAGAUGUGGAGGAAUACCGAUGGCGAAGGCAGCCUCCUGGGAUAACACUGACGUUCAUGCCCGAAAGCGUGGGUAGCAAACAGGAUUAGAUACCNUGGUAGUCCACGCCCUAAACGAUGUCGAUUAGCUGUUGGGCAGCAUGACUGCUUAGUAGCGAAGCUAACGCGUGAAAUCGACCGCCUGGGGAGUACGGUCGCAAGAUUAAAACUCAAAGGAAUUGACGGGGACCCGCACAAGCGGUGGAUGAUGUGGAUUAAUUCGAUGCAACGCGAAGAACCUUACCUGGUCUUGACAUGUACGGAACCCUCCAGAGACGGAGGGGUGCCUUCGGGAGCCGUAACACAGGUGCUGCAUGGCUGUCGUCAGCUCGUGUCGUGAGAUGUUGGGUUAAGUCCCGCAACGAGCGCAACCCUUGUCAUUAGUUGCCAUCAUUAAGUUGGGCACUCUAAUGAGACUGCCGGUGACAAGCCGGAGGAAGGUGGGGAUGACGUCAAGUCCUCAUGGCCCUUAUGACCAGGGCUUCACACGUCAUACAAUGGUCGGUACAGAGGGUAGCCAAGCCGCGUGGUGGAGCCAAUCUCACAAAACCGAUCGUAGUCCGGAUUGCACUCUGCAACUCGAGUGCAUGAAGUCGGAAUCGCUAGUAAUCGCAGGUCAGCAUACUGCGGUGAAUACGUUCCCGGGUCUUGUACACACCGCCCGUCACACCAUGGGAGUGGGGGAUACCAGA